ACCCAGCUGACGAGUCCUAAAUGGGACGAAAUGCGCGUCCUGGAU
This 45-nucleotide non-coding RNA is filed under the name Schistosoma mansoni. The record is from RNAcentral. Lineage: Eukaryota; Metazoa; Platyhelminthes; Trematoda; Strigeidida; Schistosomatidae.